Molecule: long non-coding RNA, 1878 nt
Filed under: Homo sapiens (human)
Lineage: Eukaryota; Metazoa; Chordata; Mammalia; Primates; Hominidae
Description: non-protein coding LINC002481:10
Source: RNAcentral
CACCACGGAGAUGGGCAGGCAGGAGACAUCCCCAGUCAGUCGGGCCCAGGUGGGGAUCAGGAGGUUUCAGGAAAACACAAGCUAUGCAGUGGGGCAGGUGAGGCUUGGCCUGCCCAGCCUGUCCUGAGUGUCAUGGGAACAGCUCUGGAAGUGACUCCUCUGUCCUCUGGAAUCUGGAUCAGAUGGGGCCUUCUCCAGACAUCUGUGCUCAGCAGAUGCGACAGACGGCCCCUCGAGUGUAGCCCAGGAUCCAGCACCGGCCCAAGCAGGUGGGAGCUAAGGGGAAACCGAGGCUCACAGCGAGGAACUUGGUCAACAAGCCCAGGCCCCUCCACCCUGCCCGCGUUUCCUGCACUGCACUGGAUCAAACCGGUUUGAUCCUUGAUAAUGCCUCCGACAAAUAUUUGAUGAGGGAGGAGGCUGAGAGAGGGGCUGUGGAACAAAUCACCACAAACUGGAGGGCCGAAAACACCAGCAAUGGGCUCCCUCUUGGUUCUGGAGCCGAGAAGGCAGAAAUGAAGGCGUCAUCAGGGUUGCUCCUUCUGGGGCCUCAGAGCAGGACUCUGUUCCCUGCCCGUCCCCAGCUCCGGUGGUUGGCGGCCUUCCUCCGCCUGUGGCCCUGCACUCCAAUCGCUGCCUCUGUUGUCACUUGGCCCCCCAUGUGCCUCUGUGUCUCAGAAGGACACAAGUCAUAUUGAAUUAAGGACCCUCCCUACCCCAGCAUGACCCCGUUUUAACUUAGAACUUUCACAAUGAUCUGAUUUGCAAAGAAGGCUGGAUUCUGAGGUCCUGGGAAGGACAUGAAUUUUGGGGGAUGCUGUUCACCUCAGUACACCGGUGCAGAGUUCGGUGACACCGCCAAGUUGCUUGACGGUGAGCAGCCUGGCAUUGUAGAAAGGCAGAGGUUGACUUUAGUUUGGUCCCUGGCUUUGUCCUUUAUUUGUUCUGUGACACCUUGGACAAGUUUUGUGACCCGAGUGUCAGUUUCCUAGGAACCAGUGACAAUGAUCAGAGAUAGGGGGACUCAAGGGUAAGUAAAGUGCAGGAUGAACUGCAGCGGAGCGUGUGAGGUGCCUGGCAGGUGUCGGCCACCCAGUGGCGCUCGAAGCACCUGCUGCUCCCUCCUUCCUCGCUCCCAGCUGCCUUCUCUGCUGGGAGCUCUUUGGAGAGGAGCUGUGUGACUGGUUCAUCCUGUCCCUCGAGGAGCUACCAGUUCAGUCAAGGACAUUGAGAAGCAGCGGAUGGUGACAGUGCAGUGUGACAGUGGUGUGCUGUGGGAGCCCCAUGGAGCGGCUACCCAGGCAGGAACGUCAGGGAGGCUUCCUGGAGGAGGUGGUGCUUCAGAUGAGACUUGAAGGAGCAGAAGGUGUUUGCUAGACAAAGGGGCUUGCUUGGAUGAAUGGUCUUCAGAGCGUGGUCCCAGUAAGGAAGGAGACCACUACUACUCUUGCUGCCCUCCUCCCCCGACCUUGCCUAGUUUACAAGACAGGAGGAAAGAGAGAAAGCAAAAAGUUAGAAAAAAAAAAAAAAAAAACAGAAGUAAGAUAAAUAGCCAGAAGACCUUGGCACCACCACCUGGCCCUGGUAGUUAAAAAAAGUAAUAAUAAUAAUAUCGACCCCUGACUUAAACUACUUGUAUUAUCUGUAAAUUCCAGACAUUGUAGGAAAAAGCAUUGCAAAAUUUUCUGUUCUGUUAGCUGAUUCAUGUAGCCCCCAGUCACGUUCCCCAUGCUUGUUCGAUUUAUCAUGACCCUUUCACGUGGGCCCCUUAGAGGUGUAAGCCCUUAAAAGGGCCAAGAAUUUCUUUUUCCGGGAGCUCGGCUCUUAAGACGCAAGUCUGCUGAUGCUCCCGGCUGAAUAAACCUCUUCCUUCUUUAA